This is a long non-coding RNA of Aedes aegypti (yellow fever mosquito), 1288 nucleotides long. RefSeq lists it as uncharacterized. The record is from RefSeq and is a predicted model, not a curated record. The transcript is spliced from 2 exons. Lineage: Eukaryota; Metazoa; Arthropoda; Insecta; Diptera; Culicidae.
CAAGGGAGCACCACGGAUAAGCACGACUCGCGAAAGCACACACUCCAUCCAUUCGUAUACUCCACUGAUAGCCCCAUCAUUUGUGUCAAGUGUUCACAGGCCAGAAAUCGUCGUUCAGUGUCCUGCUGGCGAAAAAUUUCACUCUGCGCCCCUCUAGCUUUCUAGUGCGUUACUAUUUUUGUGGGCAGAUCAAAACAAAAAAGUAUUCUCCGGACGGGGCCCUUAAAAGUUGUGUUCAGUGAAAUUCGCACGUUGCCAAUUUGCAUACGAUUAGAGAAGCAAUUUUUUUGGUGUAGUUCCAUAGAAGAAGAAGUCGCCAGUGCAAGUGAAAAUUGAAACAAAUUCGCAAUUCCAGCAGUGUUCUGCCUCCUUCGAAUUGUUCGCAGUAUUAAUAAAAUGCGCAUCGAUUAUCAGUGAAAGGGGUUUGGGAAAUUAAGUGAAAACACAGUUAAGUGAAGUUGUUAGACGUGAAAUUCCUCAAUUUCCUCAAUGGAAAUUGCAGCAUAAAGACAGGAAGAAAGUGAAUCCCUCGAAUUUUGUGAGCCAUCUUGGCAAGUUCAAAGGAAAGUCUCUUCUAAAGUGCAUUCUGCCAAAACCGGACGUCGUGCGGUGUGCAAGUGUCGUCCGUUGAAGAAGGUACCUUACCAUUCAAGUCGUAAACGUGUUAAACAGACAUUCCGCGAGUUGAAGUACUCUGCUGUCAAGCGAAAUUAAUUCAUCUUUUCCUUCCAUUCUCUGUGGCCGUGUUCUGAACCCGGCUUUGCCCCAAAUUGCAAUCGACGAAAAAAAAAAUCACCACAGAGCUCUCCAUUUGCGAGAGUGUCAACAGAUUUUGUAUGAGUGAUUUAAGGUUCCGAAAUUGCCAGAAGCCGUCGUCGAGCAAGUCAACGAACAGCAGUUGCAUUCAAAACCGAAGCCGGGAAUCAAUCUUGGCUGUGGCCAUCGUUGGGUCAACCGAAGAACAGGAAGAAGAAGGAGAUUCAGCAUCGGGAGAAGCAACGGGAGAAGAAUCUGUACGGUCGAAAGUGGAAGCAGGUCCGGCGGCGGCAACGGCCAUUGCCAGCCCCGGUGUCAAUCGAUUAAUUUACAUCUCCUACGAAAAGUAUAAAUAAAUCAGCAAUUCGCGGUUUGAGUGCGACUUUGGCGCUAGAAGAAAAAGAGUAAGACGCCCAGAGUGCGGUAAGAAGUGAGUGAAUUAGUGGAGAUUUGCGGGCCGCGAUUUGUUCUGGAGUUCUUAAAUCCGAACCACUUGAAACAUGUAAAAUAUUCGGUAGCACAUUUGUAGGGU